GGAUGUGAGGGCGAUCUGGCUAUGACAUCUGUCACCCCAUUGAUCACCAGGGUUGAUUUGGCUGAUCUGGCUGGCUAGGCGGGUGUUCCCUUCCUCCCUCAACGAUCCAUGUGCGUCCCUCCCGAAGCUGCGUGCUCGGUCGAAGAGGACGACCAUCCCUAACAGAGGAGUCGUUCCUUGGUCAAGGGUAUACGAGUAGCUGCGCUCCCCUGCUAGAACCUCCAAACAAGCUCUCAAGAAAAUGCAAAAGCAAAUCAGAGACACCACCACUGACAUAAAUAGAUGGGGAAUUAAAGUGCAUUCACUUUCU
This is an unclassified non-coding RNA of Cavia aperea (Brazilian guinea pig), 310 nucleotides long. Its record names the gene 7SK. It matches the Rfam family "7SK RNA". From Rfam's summary of the family: 7SK was discovered as an abundant small nuclear RNA in the mid-70s but a possible function has only recently been suggested. Two independent studies have found that 7SK RNA binds the CDK9/cyclin T complex (known as elongation factor P-TEFb). Lineage: Eukaryota; Metazoa; Chordata; Mammalia; Rodentia; Caviidae. The record is from Ensembl.